UACGGGGGGAGCAAGCGUUGUUCGGAUUUACUGGGCGUAAAGGGCGCGUAGGCGGCGCAACAAGUCAGCUGUGAAAUCUCCGGGCUUAACCCGGAGCGGCCAGCUGAUACUGUCGUGCUAGAGUGCGGAAGGGGCUACUGGAAUUCUCGGUGUAGCGGUGAGAUGCGUAGAUAUCGAGAGGAACACCUGUGGCGAAGGCGGGUAGCUGGGCCGACACUGACGCUGAGGCGCGAAAGCUAGGGGAGCGAACGGG
RNAcentral lists this ribosomal RNA (253 nucleotides) under uncultured bacterium. RNAcentral describes it as "partial 16S ribosomal RNA". It matches the Rfam family "Bacterial small subunit ribosomal RNA", at positions 524 to 776 of the family's 1533-position model. The record is from RNAcentral.